Molecule: ribosomal RNA, 259 nt
Filed under: uncultured Bacteroidota bacterium
Lineage: Bacteria; Pseudomonadati; Bacteroidota
Description: uncultured Bacteroidetes bacterium partial 16S ribosomal RNA
Rfam family: Bacterial small subunit ribosomal RNA
Source: RNAcentral
UGAGGAAUAUUGGUCAAUGGGCGGGAGCCUGAACCAGCCAAGCCGCGUGAGGGAAGAAGGCCCUAUGGGUCGUAAACCUCUUUGUCAGGGAACAAAAGCGAGUAUGUAUACUGGUCUGAGUGUACCUGAAGAAAAAGCAUCGGCUAACUCCGUGCCAGCAGCCGCGGUAAUACGGAGGAUGCGAGCGUUAUCCGGAUUUAUUGGGUUUAAAGGGUGCGUAGGCGGCGGUGCAAGUCAGCGGUAAAAGCCCGGGGCUCAA